This is a long non-coding RNA of Archocentrus centrarchus (flier cichlid), 356 nucleotides long. RefSeq lists it as uncharacterized. The record is from RefSeq and is a predicted model, not a curated record. NCBI's taxonomy places the organism in Eukaryota, Metazoa, Chordata, Actinopteri, Cichliformes, Cichlidae. The transcript is spliced from 4 exons.
UCGUCCACAUCUCUGAGACAGUCUGCUGAAGUUGUGAAGCCCUGACGGUCAACUCACUGAAACCAUGCUGAAGGUUGUAUUUCUGCUUGGAUGCCUGCUGAGCCUUGCUCUGGCAAAUCCUACUGACUCGGAACACGAGCGCGUUGCACGUUCUUCUUCUUCUGAGAGGAAUCCUGGAAUUGCUACCAGUCCUCUUGCCGCACUCCUUCCUCUUCUGCUCCAGAAUCCAACGCUCCUUACGCAGAAUCCACAGCUCCUUGCACUGCUGCUUGCUGCUUUAAGAUAAGCUGUUUCUGCACCAACAGCUACUACUGCUACAAAUGAUAAAUUGGAAAUGAACCAACAAUGAAUAAAAG